Molecule: ribosomal RNA, 600 nt
Filed under: Microbacterium sp. SS124
Lineage: Bacteria; Bacillati; Actinomycetota; Actinomycetes; Micrococcales; Microbacteriaceae
Description: bacterial SSU rRNA
Rfam family: Bacterial small subunit ribosomal RNA
Source: RNAcentral
GGGUAUAUCUUGCCGUGGCUUGUAUAACAUGAAAGUCGAACGGUGUAGCCCAGCUUGCUUGCUGCCUCUGUGGCGAACGGGUGAGUAACACGUGAGCAACCUGCCCUGGACUCUGGGAUAAGCGCUGCAAACGGCGUCUAAUACUGAAUAUGAAUCCCCUUCUCAUGGUGGGGGUUGGUAUGAUUUUUUGGUCUGGGAUGGGCUCGCGGCCUAUCAGCUUGUUGGUGAGGUAAUGGCUCACCAAGGCGUCGACGGGUAGCCGGCCUGAGAGGGUGACCGGCCACACUGGGACUGAGACACGGCCCAGACUCCUACGGGAGGCAGCAGUGGGGAAUAUUGCACAAUGGGCGAAAGCCUGAUGCAGCAACGCCGCGUGAGGUAUGACGGCCUUCGGGUUGUAAACCUCUUUUAGCAGGAAAGAAGCGAAUGUGACGGUACCUGCAGAAAAAGCGCCGGCUCACUACGUGCCAGCAGCCGCGGUAAUACGUAGGGCGCAGCUUUAUCGGAAUUAUUGGGCGUAAAGAGCUCGUAGGAAGCUUUGUCGCGUCUGCUGAAAAAUCCCGACGCUCAACCUCGGUCUGCAGUGGGUACGGCCAGACU